This 29-nucleotide small RNA is filed under the name Bombyx mori (domestic silkworm). RNAcentral's name for it is "ovarian small RNA-11811". Lineage: Eukaryota; Metazoa; Arthropoda; Insecta; Lepidoptera; Bombycidae. The record is from RNAcentral.
AGACACAUCCACCACGGACCCACCCGAAC